AGGGAGGGGAUUAAAAAAAAAAAAAGGAAAGGAAAGAAAACCACCCCAGCCCGCAUCUUCGCGCCAGUCUUCGCUUUCCCUCCCUCCCUGUCGGGCUGAGCCGAGCCGCAGCAUUCCCACUCCGCGAACGGAUCAGACCCACUUAAGCGGAGUCGUUGCUGCUUCGCCACCAGCAUGGCUACUCCCGCGGCGCCCCUACAUGAUACCGACAGCCACAUGGACCCCUUCACUUACGACUACGACACGCUGCGCUUGGUGGGGCUGAUCUUGGCUAUCGUCAUGUUUGUGCUGGGAAUCGUUAUAGCCCUGAGUAAAAAAUUCAAGUGUAAAAAAUCUGACCCCAGCCUGUCGGACCCUCGGGCAGCAGGCAAGACUCCUACUCCAGCCGGCAGUGCGUAGGUGCCGUCACCAGGAUGUGCUGCCCCCAACUGGCUGGGGGAUGAACUGCGCCCAGGACAUUUCUUCUAAGACCUUGGCACCGACUGCCCGGGAGGGGGAGGGGCUCUCCGUUCUAUCCUCAACAAGGGAGGGGCAAUUUUAUAACCAGUUAGCUCUUGCGCUUCCAUUGCAUGAUGGGAGCAGGCACCUGGGUGGGGGUGGGGUAGGAUGCAGGCCAUGAGGUGGCAGGUACCUCUGCCUGUCGAUUUCAUUGGGCACCCACCCUGCUCGGGGCUGGUUCCUAUAAGCCCCCAACCCCCAGAAACGGUCCCUUAAACUGCAAUAAUGCUGCCUGCUGCCAUCCUCUGGCAAACCUUGACCCAACAUGCCCACUUGCUGCUGGGCACAAUAGACAUGCCAUUGCUACUGCUGCUAUUGUUGCUGCUACUGCUUUGCUUUCUAUGCCUCCUGCUAUGCUAUAAAGUCCAAGGUUAGCCACAAAGGGAACUGGGAUGCUCCAAAGAGCCAUCCGCCCCCCCUGUGCUGGACACAUAAAGGCCUAGCCCUUUAUGGGGUGGGGUGUCUGGUCACCCAUUAGGCCAAGUACAGGACCAGCCAGGAAAUAGUAUUUAGCAAGUGAGGGUGAGCUAUUGUGACAAUACUCUCCAGUUCCCCUAGGGGGUGCUGCUCACAGUUUCUCCUUGCAGAACUAUCCACAUCUCCAUGUCUCAUUCACGCAUGGAGCAAAAUUUGAACAGAUAAUAAAUGUGGGGUUUUCUAACUAAUCUUUGCCUUG
Molecule: long non-coding RNA, 1174 nt
Filed under: Salvator merianae (Argentine black and white tegu)
Lineage: Eukaryota; Metazoa; Chordata; Lepidosauria; Squamata; Teiidae
Description: lncRNA (ENSSMRG00000011593.1)
Source: RNAcentral